RNAcentral lists this ribosomal RNA (292 nucleotides) under uncultured bacterium. RNAcentral describes it as "partial 16S ribosomal RNA". It matches the Rfam family "Bacterial small subunit ribosomal RNA", at positions 505 to 796 of the family's 1533-position model. The record is from RNAcentral.
GUGUCAGCAGCCGCGGUAAGACAGAGGUGGCGAGCGUUGUUCGGAAUUACUGGGCUUAAAGGGCGCGUAGGCGGUGAUAUAAGUCUGGGGUGGAAGCCCAUAGCUUAACUAUGGGACUGCCCUGGAAACUGUAUUGCUUGAGUCGGACAGGGGAAGGCGGAAUUCCAGGUGUAGCGGUGAAAUGCGUAGAUAUCUGGAGGAAGGCCUGUGGUGAAGACGGCCUUCUGGGUCUUGACUGACGCUGAGGCGCGAAAGCGUGGGUAGCAAACAGGAUUAGAUACCCGGGUAGUCC